Molecule: long non-coding RNA, 591 nt
Organism: Brienomyrus brachyistius
Lineage: Eukaryota; Metazoa; Chordata; Actinopteri; Osteoglossiformes; Mormyridae
Exons: 5
Source: RefSeq, a predicted model, not a curated record
GGCAGGCCAGUAGACAGUGACCCCAUCUAUCCUCUCAGUAGCAAUUCAGAAGACUGUGUUGAGGACGACAACCACCAGCUUAUUUUCACCAUAGUGGAGGGUGGGCCGGAAACCAACGGUGGAUCUGGGGAUGGUCCAUAGGGCCUCUUUCCCUCUGCAGCUUCCCUACAUCUCAGGGUGAGCUUAUGUUGAACUCUGACACCAUGACUCAGCUGAACACCCCGGUGAAGCAUCAUGAAGAGUGUUCUUCACAUGGAGUGUCACUCUGCUGGCCACAAAGUCACUAAUAAAAAAUAAGAGUGACAUGUAAAUUACAUUGUAUACACACACAGACUCCGUUUUAUAAUAAAACAUUUAAGCUGCUAAUAUUUUAAUGAUGGAAUUAAAAUGUAGAAUUCAUUUGAAAAAAGUUAGCAAAUGUAGAUGUCAAUCUACCAAAUCUACAACUUGUACAGGAAGCCUGGUCUGGUAACGUUCUAUAGAUUUUUUGAUUGUUUAUGUGCGGUUUUUAAAGGUAUGCUCCGUUACUCAGUGACCUAUACUUCAUUGAGUUAUUUACAUUUCCCAUUUCCAAAACCUUUGAUCACAAAC